CCUACGGGUGGCAGCAGUAGGGAAUCUUCCGCAAUGGACGAAAGUCUGACGGAGCAACGCCGCGUGAGCGAUGAAGGCCUUCGGGUUGUAAAGCACUUUCAGCGGGGAGGAAGGCGUUAAGGUUAAUAACCUUGUCGAUUGACGUUACCCGCAGAAGAAGCACCGGCUAACUCCGUGCCAGCAGCCGCGGUAAUACGGAGGGUGCAAGCGUUAAUCGGAAUUACUGGGCGUAAAGCGCACGCAGGCGGUCUGUCAAGUCGGAUGUGAAAUCCCCGGGCUCAACCUGGGAACUGCAUUCGAAACUGGCAGGCUAGAGUCUUGUAGAGGGGGGUAGAAUUCCAGGUGUAGCGGUGAAAUGCGUAGAGAUCUGGAGGAAUACCGGUGGCGAAGGCGGCCCCCUGGACAAAGACUGACGCUCAGGUGCGAAAGCGUGGGGAGCAAACAGGAUUAGAUACCCGAGUAGUC
RNAcentral lists this ribosomal RNA (465 nucleotides) under uncultured Klebsiella sp. Its description in RNAcentral is "bacterial SSU rRNA". It matches the Rfam family "Bacterial small subunit ribosomal RNA", at positions 338 to 795 of the family's 1533-position model. Lineage: Bacteria; Pseudomonadati; Pseudomonadota; Gammaproteobacteria; Enterobacterales; Enterobacteriaceae. The record is from RNAcentral.